This 26-nucleotide non-coding RNA is filed under the name Rattus norvegicus (Norway rat). The record is from RNAcentral. Lineage: Eukaryota; Metazoa; Chordata; Mammalia; Rodentia; Muridae.
UGACCAACCCACUGAAGCAGCCUGGA